Molecule: small RNA, 28 nt
Filed under: Bombyx mori (domestic silkworm)
Lineage: Eukaryota; Metazoa; Arthropoda; Insecta; Lepidoptera; Bombycidae
Description: piRNA piR-bmo-1425095
Source: RNAcentral
UUUCUGCUUGAUGAUGAGACAUUUGAAC